GCUUCCCUGGGCCUGCCAGACCUUCAGGCCUCUCUCCAACCCGAAGGCCUCUCUCUCUGGGGGAGAGGAGAUUGGCAUUGGAGGAGGACCAUGUGAUGACACAGUGAGAAGGCAGCCAUCUACAAGUCCAGGAGAGAGGCCUAAGAAGGAACAAUCUUGCUGACACCCUGAUCAUGGACUUUUGGACUCACAAUGGAGAGAAAAUAAAUUGCUGUUGUUUAAGCUA
Molecule: long non-coding RNA, 226 nt
Organism: Nannospalax galili (Upper Galilee mountains blind mole rat)
Lineage: Eukaryota; Metazoa; Chordata; Mammalia; Rodentia; Spalacidae
Exons: 2
Source: RefSeq, a predicted model, not a curated record